CGUCAGCACGGAUUUUUCCUUGCAUGCGUAAAAAGCUCCGUCCGAAGAGAACUGAACUGAAACUGGAAGGACUGGUGGGCGUCCUUUAGGUGAAAACCCCAAAAGGGGUGCGGUGAUACAGAAGCAGUCCUUGAAUGUGUCCGAGGGAAAAUCGAGGCUCACUGAAGAAGUGCGGAGCCACUCAGGUUGUCCCUCCGCUCUUGGAAGUGACGCAUCGGUCAAGCAGGAGCGCAGUCUGCCCGUCAGACGGAGGAGAGGUCUAAUGAGAUGUUGUCAGAUCAGAUCUGUCAGGAGGCGGCUCGCGCAUCGGUGCAUGAUGCAGUAUGUUUUAGCAUGGCAGCUUAUCCAUAUCCACUGUCCAAAAACCCACCGAGAAACGCAAUCUCACACUCAGAGGAAGAAACCAAAGACCGUCUCUCUCUCUCUCUCUCUCACUCUCUCUGAUGGAUGCUCCGGGAUCUCCGGCUCGUCGCCGUGGAGGAUGCUGGGACAAACUGGCCGCUCCGGUCGGGCGUGGAGGGUAGUUGACCCUCGGUGUCCGGUGCGGGCGCGGGGAUGCGCUGGGUCUCUGGUCUUGCUCCUAAAGCUCCAACCCAGCCUUAUUCCCAUCCUGUUGACGUCAGGUCGCUGCCGGACCAAUCAGCGCCCCGCCAUGCAAUAAACCAUCAAGCCGCCCCAUCAUAACCCAGCAAGGGCUCUGCGUGCUAUUUAUGCCACACACUCAAGACACCAAUUGUCAAGAAUUUUCCUGCAAACUGUCAUCUGUUACUGAAUGUGUUUGGAGGAAGCGGCUGCAAUGAGGGCUUGGAGCUCGGAGACAGACGCCGCUAACGCUGCCGGGAAAAGGCUUUUGAGCAGGAGGGGGACAAGAAGAAGAACCUGAGCAGCAUCACUUUGGAGACACGAUGUCACCACGACGACGUGAGUCCACGAGGGAGCGGACUCUGGAAUACCGGCUCCAUCCCGACCCGAGCACGUGAUUAAAAAGGCUCUGGAAAGAAGAACGCGCUUUAAGUAAGAGAGAAGGCGCGCGGGGCCGUGAGCGCAGGACCAUGGGGGAGGGGUCCUCCAGUAAUACAGCAAGAAAUAUCACCCCCGACCGGAGCUUUGAUCAACUGAGUGUACCGAGGGAGGAAGAGGAGGAGGAGGAAGAGGAGGAGGGUAAGAGUCCGCUGUUCUGCUCUGCUGCUUGCAGCCUGUUUCUUUUUUCUUUUUUCUUUUUUUACCAAAAGGAAACUGCAAACAGGUGCUGGUGUUCAUAAUAAGACACAUUGAUCAUUCUGACUCAUGAAAACGUUUAUUCUAUAAUAAAAACAAUCGAACUUCUGUGAAA
Oryzias melastigma (Indian medaka) is the source of this 1333-nucleotide long non-coding RNA. RefSeq lists it as uncharacterized. The transcript is spliced from 2 exons. NCBI's taxonomy places the organism in Eukaryota, Metazoa, Chordata, Actinopteri, Beloniformes, Adrianichthyidae. The record is from RefSeq and is a predicted model, not a curated record.